RNAcentral lists this ribosomal RNA (252 nucleotides) under uncultured bacterium. RNAcentral's name for it is "partial 16S ribosomal RNA". It matches the Rfam family "Bacterial small subunit ribosomal RNA", at positions 524 to 775 of the family's 1533-position model. The record is from RNAcentral.
UACGUAGGGUGCAAGCGUUGUCCGGAAUUAUUGGGCGUAAAGAGCUCGUAGGCGGUCUGUCGCGUCGGCUGUGAAAUCCCGGAGCUCAACUCCGGGUCUGCAGUCGAUACGGGCAAACUGGAGUACUGCAGGGGAGACUGGAAUUCCUGGUGUAGCGGUGAAAUGCGUAGAGAUCGGGAGGAACACCAGUGGCGAAGGCGGCUACCUGGACCAGCACUGACACUGAGGCACGAAAGCGUGGGGAGCAACAGG